RNAcentral lists this ribosomal RNA (439 nucleotides) under uncultured bacterium. RNAcentral describes it as "partial 16S ribosomal RNA". It matches the Rfam family "Bacterial small subunit ribosomal RNA", at positions 339 to 795 of the family's 1533-position model. The record is from RNAcentral.
CUACGGGUGGCAGCAGUGAGGAAUAUUGCACAAUGGGGGGAACCCUGAUGCAGCAACGCCGCGUGGAGGAUGACGCAUUUCGGUGUGUAAACUCCUUUUAUAUGUCGAGAAAAUGACGGUAGCAUAUGAAUAAGCACCGGCUAACUCCGUGCCAGCAGCCGCGGUAAUACGGAGGGUGCAAGCGUUACUCGGAAUCACUGGGCGUAAAGGACGCGUAGGCGGGUUGGAAAGUCAGGUGUGAAAUCCUACAGCUUAACUGUAGAACUGCACUUGAAACUUCUAAUCUAGAGUAUGGGAGGGGGAGAUGGAAUUAGUGGUGUAGGGGUAAUAUCCGUAGAUAUCACUAGGAAUACCUAAAGCGAAGGCGAUCUCCUGGAACAUUACUGACGCUAAGGCGUGAAAGCGUGGGGAGCAAACAGGAUUAGAUACCCCUGUAGUC